RNAcentral lists this unclassified non-coding RNA (343 nucleotides) under soil metagenome. RNAcentral's name for it is "partial contains 5.8S ribosomal RNA, internal transcribed spacer 2, and large subunit ribosomal RNA". The stretch from base 1 to 120 matches the Rfam family "5.8S ribosomal RNA", at positions 35 to 154 of the family's 154-position model. The record is from RNAcentral.
GAUGAAGAACGUAGCGAAAUGCGAUAAGUAAUGUGAAUUGCAGAAUCCAGUGAAUCAUCGAAUCUUUGAACGCACAUUGCGCCCGCCAGCAUUCUGGCGGGCAUGCCUGUUCGAGCGUCAUUUCAACCCUCGACCUCCCUUUGGGGAAGUCGGCGUUGGGGACCGGCAGCACACCGCCGGCCCUGAAAUGGAGUGGCCGCCCGUCCGCGGCGACCUCUGCGUAGUAAACCAACUCGCACCGGAACCCCGACGUGGCCACGCCGUAAAACACCCAACUUCUGAACGUUGACCUCGAAUCAGGUAGGACUACCCGCUGAACUUAAGCAUAUCAAUAAGCGGAGGA